CCCCCCCCCCACAAAAAAAAACCUUCCAUCUAAGGGUUAACUACAUAAUAGCAAAACCAGAAACAGCUAGCGGCAAUUAUUGCCUAUAGAAAUAACAAUAGCAAAUAUGGAAGCGACAUAUGAUACACUUAUAAACUAACAAUACGAAAAAUAAUCAAGCAGGAAAAAUUAAAUGUUUACGUAUUAAAUAACAAAUAUCUGCAAUGGCAACCAAUUACAUUAUUCAAGAAAUAUUUACUUUCAAUAAAUUACGGUUUGUGGGAGAUAUGCUAGAAUGUUUAAUGGCAUACUUUUAUAGCAAAUUACAGCCUAUCUAAGUGAUUUUCACCUAAAACUUACAUGGCAUUUUAAGCAGGGACUUAAAUGUAUUUAAUGCAAAACGUAUGUAUAAAUUUCAACUUUGAAACGGUGUACGGUAUUAGGAUCAUUGCUACCUCUCCAGACAUAAUAUCUUUUAUAUUCGACUUGAUGUUUUCUACCUCAACUUAGUUAGUCAGAUACUCUAAAUUUGCAGCUUUUUAUUGCAUCAGUCCAUACAGUCAAUGCAUCAAUGCUAGAUGAUAAAACACUACAACACAUGGAAGUCUAUAAAAAGUAAAUAUCUUUCUCAACAAAUAAACCUUAAGAUAUUUGUAUUUUCUUGCACUUAAGAGUUCAGUUUGAAUAGAUAUUAGAUAUAUAUGUGGUCUAUUUUCUGGAUCAAUUCAUAAGUUUGAUACAAUUCUUAUUGUGCAGGCAAAACAAAGAGGAGAUAGAACGUUGUCAGUGGAUUCAAUAAACGUGGCCAGUGAUGAAGUAAAAGAUUCUGGAAAACCAGCCAAUACAGAAGUUUCAAUGGAUAGCAACCUAGAUGAAAUUUAAUAAAUGUUUCCAUCGUACUCUAUGUAGUAAACUUGCAACAAAGCCACCACUAUGAACCUUUGCCUUCAGAAUGCCUACAUGAGUUUUCGUGAGACACUUUUGCAUUUUCAUGCUUACACAAGAUAUACAAAUUCCUCAAUCCUCACUCUUUAUACUAUAAACAUAAUAGGUACCAUGGGUAAAUAUAAAUAAGGCCAGUACAAAAAACUCUCUAUUUCAUUCAUUUAAUUACAACAGAAGCACUAUGACCAAUCAUACACAUAAAUAUAAGUAUGUUUUGCAUUAUAUAUCAAUUCGCAAAAAGCAACUUAAGCUAGAAUAAGAGACAGAAUAAUAUAUUUCCAAGAAUUAAAGCUCUUUAAGUGUGACUAAAAGGAUAAAUAUUUAUGGUAUUUGAGCAAAUAUCUAGUAGUACAAAUGCAACAAAAGUAUACCUUCAGCUAGAAACGUUGAUUGUGAAAGAUCACCAUCAAGAUUGUCAAACUUAAAGUUUCUUCUUUCUUUUUUUGAAGUUUGUUUAUUGAGAUGGAUAUAGCUAAUUGGUUGUCAAUGAAACUAUGUUUUGCCCUGAGUGCAAAGAAGAGUUGGGUUUUUUUCCAGAAUAGCAUCUCAAGUAAGGACCGGCUCCAUUUCUCUUCAAGUUAUUACUAGCUUUUUAUGAGUCACUAUUAGAUUAUAUGGGUGGAGAAGCCUCUCUACCUCUUUAAGGUAGGGGCAAGGUCUGGUUACACACUACACUCUCCAAACCCCACUUGUGGGAUUACACGGGGUAUGUUAUUAUUGUUGGGUGGAGAAGCAAAGACAAAUAAUCUGAUUAGUCGAUCUUAAACAUAAGUCUAUGACACUUUUUCUUCACCUAAGAUAAUGAUCUCUAGAAUUAGUAGGAAUCACUACUUCUGACAAUCCAUCAAAAGUUUCACUUGUGUAGUCAUCCUAUGGAUCAGUUUUUUGCUUUUUUUUUGAUAAAGUAAAAUAGUUUCAUCAAAAGAAGCGCAAAAAAUGCAUGUAUACAAGAGGUAUACCAAAAGGUAGAAAAAGCUUCCGAAAUGAUAUGCUUUUCUAUGAAAGACACCCAACCUCGUGAUUGCACCAAAAAGGAAUAAGAGAUAGAAGGUUAUUCCUCAAGUGUACAAAACCAUCUCUACUCCAUCAAAAGCGCUCCAAAUCCUCUCUCUUCAUACAGUCCAUAAGUACAGAGGAGCAGCAUGCCAUAACCUGUGUCUCCUCCGUCUUCUAAAGGUCCAACUAAAUAUUGUUUCUUUCAUAGCAUUACUCACUCCAUCACAGGAUUUCCCACCUCAACUAAGACGCUAUUCGAUAUAGAGGAGCAGUAUCCCAUACCCUGUGUCUCCUCCGUCGUCUAAAGGUCCAACUAAAUAUUAUUUCUUUCACAGUGCUCGGCAUUACUCACUCCGGUCCAAACCAUCACAGGAUUUCCCACCACAACUAAGACGCUAUUCGACAAAGUAAAUGGAAGUGAUUCAGAUUUUUCCAUGAGUCUUUACACAUGAAGCGCAAAUCAACAAAUAAACUUCUUCUUCCCCAAGUUCUCCACCGUCAAGAUUACCCUACGCACAGCUAGCCAAGUGAAAACAUAUACACCUUUCUCGACUCCUCCAUAGUCAUAAACUUCUCAUAAUAGGACUUGCAUAAAAGACACUGCCUUUUCCCCCGCACCCCAUCUCCAUACAUCUUGACUAUCAUGUGCUUCAACCUACCAGUCUUGCGCAAGUUGUUCCAAAACUUCAAAUCCCAAUGUGCUUCUCCCCUUGUAGACUCCAUAUCCUAUGGAUCAGGUUGCAGACAUAAAUAAAUAAAUAUGUUCUAUCUCUAAUAGCUUGAGCUCUCAGAUAAGGUAGUUCACACAAUUCAACAUGUUCUCUCUUUCCGGAUGGCACCAACUUAGGCAGAAAACUCGAGUUUGAGCUUUACCGCCGCCAAUUAACAAAAAUAUUUCUAUGUGCUAGGGUCAAGUAGAAAAUGCACAUCCUAAUUGAUGGAAGAGUAAUACAAGGGAUUCCUACCAAAAAUUUGGGAUCACCACCUAUGUGCAAGUUAUGUGCGUACAGACAAAGAAAGCUUGAGUCUAGAACUGACAUAUAACCAAGUGAAACAUCCAAAGAGGAAAAAAUAAUUAAAUGUCUGCGUAGAAAGCACCAAAAGAGUAAGUAAUGUAAUCUAGGAUCCAAGUAAUCUAGGUCAUCUGACCCCAUGUCAAUUGUCACCGUGUACUUUCUCUCUUCUUUUUCCUAGAGCAGUUUCUUCUUUCAUUAUUCUUACCUUUAUUACUCCAAUGACACUCGACACAAUUAUGUGCAUCGAUGUUAAGGUUGGUGUCUAAAACUAAGGUAUGACAAAGUGAAACAUCUCAGGAGGAAAAAGGAUUAAAUGCAUCAAGGAGGUUCCAAAAGACCAAGUUGUGCAAUCGUAAAUCCAAGUAAUCUAGGUGUCUGACAUAGCGUCAGUUCAAACUAUGUGCUCUUUUUCUUUUCUUUCUCCUAGAGCAGAUUCUCUCAUUCUCUCAAGUGCUAUAAGGAUAUUAUCAAUCAUUUAUUAAAGGAAGAAGCUCUUCAAAUUAUCAAUCAUUUCUUAAAGGAAGAAGCCCCCCUUAUCUGCAAAUAAAUGUGGAGAAGACUUGGUGUCUAGAAUUAACAUAUUAGCAAGUGAAGCAACUCAAGAGAAAAAAAUAAUUAAAUACAUCAGGGGAAAAUGUCAGAAAGGUAAUUAAAUCAAUCGAAAAACCAAUUAAUCUAGGUGAUCUAACAUUAUGUCAUUGUCCACAUAGUGUCAUUGUCCACAUAGUGUCAGUUAAUACUAUGUAUUCUCUUUUUUCCUAAAGCAAUUUCUUCUUGCUCUAUUCUUGCAAAGUACUACAAAAAAGAUUUUUGAAAAUGGAUGUUUUCCUUUUUUGAAAUGGAAAGUACUACAAGAAAGAUUAUUAAUCUUUUUGAAGAAAGAAGCUUUUCAUAGACAAAAAUUUCUUUUUUAUUGAAUAAAACUUCUUUUCUUUCCUUUCCUUCAAGGGGUGGAACGUUGGAGGAUUAUGCAUGAUACUCAGGUUACAUAUUCUUUUAGAUUUUUAUACAACCAAAUGGUGUUGCCUCUAUUGCUCCAACAGAAUUCAACACAAAUGUCAAAGGUGUUUUCAUACGUCCAAAAUUAGUUAGCACUUCCCCAACCUUGGUACCAUCAUUCUUUAUCCUUUUACUAGUGAAACAUGCUGAUCAGAAUUCAAAAUCUGUUUUGUACCCAUAGAAAGAUUCUGAUGAUAUCAUGUUCCUAUCAUUGUAGGGAAUUAAAGUCACAAAUACAUGAUAUAAGCUUGUAAUUUUCAAAAUUUCUAAUAAAUUAGAAUUAGAUAAAAUACUUGAUGAUACUUAAAUUAGAUGCAUCAGGGGAAAGCUCCAAGAGACUAAUUAAUGUAACUAAUAAUCCAAGAGGUACCUCACACAACACACACUCUUUCUCUUCUUUUUCCUAAAGAAGUUUCUUUUUUCAUUGUUCUCUCAAAGUGUUAUAAGGAAAAUUAUCAAUCAUUUAUGGAAAGAAGAAGCUCUAAUUAUGUAAAGACUUCUUCACAGGGGCUAUGAACUCCUCUUUCCUUCUUUUUUUUUUGGGGG
This 4481-nucleotide long non-coding RNA is filed under the name Nicotiana benthamiana. RNAcentral's name for it is "long non-coding RNA (NBEN_LNC020354)". Lineage: Eukaryota; Viridiplantae; Streptophyta; Magnoliopsida; Solanales; Solanaceae. The record is from RNAcentral.